RNAcentral lists this ribosomal RNA (615 nucleotides) under uncultured bacterium. Its description in RNAcentral is "bacterial SSU rRNA". It matches the Rfam family "Bacterial small subunit ribosomal RNA", at positions 109 to 745 of the family's 1533-position model. The record is from RNAcentral.
AGUAAUGCAUAGAUAAUGUGCCCCUUAGUUCGGGAUAGCCACUGGAAACGGUGAUUAAUACCGGAUACUCCUUCUUGUUAUAAGACAAGUCGGGAAAGUUUUUCGCUAAGGGAUCAGUCUAUGUUCCAUCAGCUUGUUGGUGAGGUAAUGGCUCACCAAGGCUAUGACGGAUAUCUGGUUUGAGAGGAUGAUCAGACACACUGGAACUGAGACACGGUCCAGACUCCUACGGGAGGCAGCAGUGAGGAAUAUUGCACAAUGGAGGAAACUCUGAUGCAGCAACGCCGCGUGGAGGAUGACGCAUUUCGGUGUGUAAACUCCUUUUAUUAGGGAAGAUAAUGACGGUACCUAAUGAAUAAGCACCGGCUAACUCCGUGCCAGCAGCCGCGGUAAUACGGAGGGUGCAAGCGUUACUCGGAAUCACUGGGCGUAAAGGGUGCGUAGGCUGGCUUUUAAGUCAGAUGUGAAAUCCAAUGGCUCAACCAUUGAACUGCAUUUGAAACUGAAAGCCUAGAGUUCAGAAGGGGCAGAUGGAAUUAGUGGUGUAGGGGUAAAAUCCGUAGAUAUCACUAGGAAUAUCAAAAGCGAAGGUGAUCUGCUGGGAUGAUACUGACG